AGAUUGAACGCUGGCGGCAUGCCUUACACAUGCAAGUCGAACGGUAACGCGGGGCAACCUGGCGACGAGUGGCGAACGGGUGAGUAAUGCAUCGGAACGUGCCCAGUAGUGGGGGAUAGCUCGGCGAAAGCCGGAUUAAUACCGCAUACGACCUAAGGGUGAAAGCGGGGGACCGUAAGGCCUCGCGCUAUUGGAGCGGCCGAUGUCAGAUUAGGUUGUUGGUGGGGUAAAAGCCUACCAAGCCGACGAUCUGUAGCUGGUCUGAGAGGACGACCGAGACCACACCUGGGACUGAGACACGGCCCAGACUCCUACGGAGGCAGCAGUGGGGAAUUUGGACAAUGGGGGCAACCCUGAUCCAGCCAUGCCGCGUGCGGGAAGAAGGCCUCGGGUUGUAAACCGCUUUGUCAGGAAGAAACGCUCUGGUUAAUACCCGGGUAAUACGUACGGACCGUU
This 456-nucleotide ribosomal RNA is filed under the name uncultured soil bacterium. Its description in RNAcentral is "bacterial SSU rRNA". It matches the Rfam family "Bacterial small subunit ribosomal RNA", at positions 26 to 501 of the family's 1533-position model. The record is from RNAcentral.